CUAUAGGAAAUAAUUAGUUUAAAUUGCAAUAUUUGCCAUUGAAUUUAUUGUAAUAUUUCAAUUCAUAGGGUUAGGGUUAUUGACUUAAUAAUGUAUCCAUGUCCCUCUCAGGUUGACCACUUGACAUGUGAGAGCCUGAGGAGUUGUUCCCCCUCGAUCCAUUUUCAAGGACUUGCUCUCUUACUGCCUCCACUUCACCACUUUCUGGCUACUGAGACGUCCCUGAUUUGUUGAGUUGACCACCCUAUAUAUGAGACCCUAAGGGGUUGUUUUCCCUCUGUCCCCUUUUGAGGACCUGCUUUGUCUCCUCCAUCAUUCACUGGGCCACUUUUGGGUUCCUGAGCUUAUUUCAUGUGGUUUUCCUGACCUGCUAGAAGUUCUUCUAUGAUGCUUGAGAGAGAGAGAGAGAGAGAGAGAGAGAGAGAGAGAGAGAGAGAGAGAGCUUCAUCUUGACUUUGUGAGUUUAUUAUGCAACUUGUUUUGUCUCAGAUUGAAACAAAAGGUCAUGAAUUUGGUGAGGAGUGGAGCUGGCUGGCUGCGGACGAGGAAGUAGGGCAAUAUAUACAUGUGCACAUACACGUAUAUGAGAAUGCAUAUCUAUUCAGACCUGUAAUUCACGCCUUAGGCUUUUUCACACUGCUAUAGAUAAUAAUUUUUUUUUCAAUUCUCUAUUUAUGGUUUCACAAUGACUGAGUCACCGUUAAAACAAAUGAGUUUCAGCUCUAAUGCUGCUACUGUCUGUAAUAUGUUUCUAUUUAGAUUAUUUGUUUGAUAUUUUGUUAUUAUUGUCCGAGUCUGGUUUUAACUAAUGCUGGGCUUACACCAAAAGAUUUUCACAGUCACAGACUAAAAACUGAAAGGGUAGCAUGAGGGUUCUUCCCGUUAGUCUCGUCCCACCCCUAGUCAUGACAUAACUUCUGUUGUGAUUUGACACUAUAAUGAAUAAAGACUGAUUGAUUGAUUGCUAUAGCUGUCAAUUUUAGUCCUUGAGUUCAUAGUUACGUGCUUUAUUUGUUAACUGCUAUCAAGGAAUAU
RNAcentral lists this long non-coding RNA (1035 nucleotides) under Dicentrarchus labrax (European seabass). RNAcentral describes it as "lncRNA (ENSDLAG00005031099.1)". Lineage: Eukaryota; Metazoa; Chordata; Actinopteri; Moronidae. The record is from RNAcentral.